UUUGUCCCGGGGUAAGGGUGUAGGACGAGUGGUAGGCAAAUCCGCCACUCACAUAGUCUGAGACCUGAUGCCGAGCCGAUUGUGGUGAAGUGGAUGAUCCUAUGCUGUCGAGAAAAGCCUCUAGCGAGUUUCAUGGCGGCCCGUACCCUAAACCGACUCAGGUGGUCAGGUAGAGAAUACCGAGGCGUUCGAGUGAACUAUGGUUAAGGAACUCGGCAAAAUGCCCCCGUAACUUCGGGAGAAGGGGGGCCAUCACCGGUGAUCCGUUUUACACGGUGAGCUGGGGGUGGCCGCAGAGACCAGCGAGAAGCGACUGUUUACUAAAAACACAGGUCCGUGCGAAGCCGUAAGGCGAUGUAUACGGACUGACGCCUGCCCGGUGCUGGAACGUUAAGGGGACCGGUUAGUCACAAUUCGUUGUGGCGAAGCUGAGAACUUAAGCGCCAGUAAACGGCGGUGGUAACUAUAACCAUCCUAAGGUAGCGAAAUUCCUUGUCGGGUAAGUUCCGACCUGCACGAAUGGCGUAACGACUUCUCGACUGUCUCAACCAUAGGCCCGGUGAAAUUGCACUACGAGUAAAGAUGCUCGUUUCGCGCAGCAGGACGGAAAGACCCCGGGACCUUUACUACAGUUUGAUAUUGGUGUUCGGUUCGGCUUGUGUAGGAUAGCUGGGAGACUGUGAACUCUGGACGCCAGUUCAGGGGGAGUCGUCGUUGAAAUACCAGUCUGGUCGCGCUGGAUGUCUAACCUGGGUCCGUGAUCCGGAUCAGGGACAGUGUCUGAUGGGUAGUUUAACUGGGGCGGUUGCCUCCUAAAGAGUAACGGAGGCGCCCAAAGGUUCCCUCAGCCUGGUUGGCAAUCAGGUGUUGAGUGUAAGUGCACAAGGGAGCUUGACUGUGAGACCGACGGGUCGAGCAGGGACGAAAGUCGGGACUAGUGAUCCGGCGGUGGCUUGUGGAAGCGCCGUCGCUCAACGGAUAAAAGGUACCCCGGGGAUAACAGGCUGAUCUUCCCCAAGAGUCCAUAUCGACGGGAUGGUUUGGCACCUCGAUGUCGGCUCGUCGCAUCCUGGGGCUGGAGUCGGUCCCAAGGGUUGGGCUGUUCGCCCAUUAAAGCGGUACGCGAGCUGGGUUUAGAACGUCGUGAGACAGUUCGGUCCCUAUCCGCUGCGCGCGCAGGAACAUUGAGAAGGGCUGUCCCUAGUACGAGAGGACCGGGACGGACGAACCUCUGGUGUGCCAGUUGUUCUGCCAAGGGCAUGGCUGGUUGGCUACGUUCGGGAGGGAUAACCGCUGAAAGCAUCUAAGCGGGAAGCCUGCUUCGAGAUGAGUGUUCCCACCCCCUUGAGGGGUUAAGGCUCCCAGUAGACGACUGGGUUGAUAGGCCGGAUCUGGAAGGCGGGUAACCGCUGGAGGUGACCGGUACUAAUAGGCCGAGGGCUUGUCC
RNAcentral lists this ribosomal RNA (1447 nucleotides) under metagenome. RNAcentral's name for it is "bacterial LSU rRNA". It matches the Rfam family "Bacterial large subunit ribosomal RNA", at positions 1501 to 2925 of the family's 2925-position model. The record is from RNAcentral.